This 287-nucleotide long non-coding RNA is filed under the name Hordeum vulgare. RNAcentral describes it as "long non-coding RNA (HVUL_LNC019528)". Lineage: Eukaryota; Viridiplantae; Streptophyta; Magnoliopsida; Poales; Poaceae. The record is from RNAcentral.
CCACAUGUUGUACAGUAUACUGAAUACAUGGUAAAUUGUACGGACUUGUGUCCGUCGUGUUCAUAUGGGAGCAAGACAACAAUUUGGCUCCGGAAGAAAUUUGAUAAACUUUUGCUCUCUGCAUAACUCUGGAAGAAAUUGAAGCCAAAGUAUUUAAGGUCAACGUGGUAGGGAUGUUCAAACAAAGUAACAAACUAAUGCAGAACCAGACACGUGCCAAUUGCAAGUCCCUCUCAGAAAUUAGCCGAUCAUCUUUUAUCCAAACGUGAAGUUGGUCACGAAAAACU